CCCCUCUCAGGGUCGCACCUGGAGAGUUUCCAGUCCUCUACCAGUCUCGGCUACGGGAGGGAGAGUCAGGCAGAGGCCUACCCAUUCCAUUCCUAGCUUGCACAGUGGCUAAUGAGCGGAAGACAAUCUGCUACAAGU
Ornithorhynchus anatinus (platypus) is the source of this 138-nucleotide small nucleolar RNA. NCBI's taxonomy places the organism in Eukaryota, Metazoa, Chordata, Mammalia, Monotremata, Ornithorhynchidae. The record is from RefSeq and is a predicted model, not a curated record.